UACGGAGGGGGCAAGCGUUGUUCGGAAUUACUGGGCGUAAAGCGCGCGUAGGCGGCGAUGCAAGUCAGAGGUGAAAUGCCCGGGCUCAACCUGGGAGGUGCCUUUGAGACUGGUGUGCUUGAGUACGGAAGAGGUGAGUGGAAUUCCCAGUGUAGAGGUGAAAUUCGUAGAUAUUGGGAAGAACACCAGUGGCGAAGGCGGCUCACUGGUCCGUAACUGACGCUGAGGUGCGAAAGCGUGGGGAGCAAACAGGAUUAGAUACCCCGUAGUCC
Molecule: ribosomal RNA, 272 nt
Filed under: uncultured bacterium
Lineage: Bacteria
Description: partial 16S ribosomal RNA
Rfam family: Bacterial small subunit ribosomal RNA
Source: RNAcentral